UAACUCUGGUUUCCUUCAAAACGCAUAAAUCUUUCGCCUUUUACUAAAGAUUUCCGUGGAGGGGAACAACUCAAUGAGUCUAAUAUAAUUUUUAUUGGCCCACCUGGUGGGCU
This 113-nucleotide small nuclear RNA is filed under the name Portunus trituberculatus (swimming crab). RNAcentral describes it as "U5 spliceosomal RNA". It matches the Rfam family "U5 spliceosomal RNA". Rfam says of the family: U5 RNA is a component of both types of known spliceosome. Lineage: Eukaryota; Metazoa; Arthropoda; Malacostraca; Decapoda; Portunidae. The record is from RNAcentral.